GACUCGACCUCACCCAAAACACACAAGAAAGACAACUUUUCUUGCCUCAGAUCUUUUCUUCCUCUGUCUCUAUCAUCGCCAAACAGUUUUCCCUGCCAACCGUCUUCAGCAACUUUCCACUUUCCUUCGCUCUUCUUUGUAUCUCUUACGCCACUCUUCACCGUAUCGGUAUGUGAUUCAUCUUCUCCUCUGUUUUUUCCCUAACAAUUCUCUGAUCUAUGCCAUCUGCUAAAGUCGCCGUCGCGACCGACCGCCCCUCAGGCCUUUGCAUCAAAACCGAAACACAGCUGCCGUCUUGCUCAUAGUCGUCUUCCAGAUAGCUGACGUCGAACCGGCUUCUAUCCAACAAUUAAAACUAGCUGUUUUAAACUCGCAACAAGAGCUGGAAGUGGACAGCAAUAGAACAUAGGAUGAAGACUGCUAUCAUGGAUCAUGUAGAGGAGUAAAUGAAAUGCCAGCCCUUGAAGUUAGCUGACACGUUUGUUAUUUUAGAGAAGAUCAGGGAACUCGAUAGGUAUAGGUGUUGGUUGUGAGUCAAAAUGGAACUAAAGAAAUGAACCAUGAAUUUUGGAAAUGUGAAUUAUUGGUGCUUUGAUUAAAUAGAUAGUUCUUAGAUUUGUUCAAAUACUAAAGUAGUGGAACUGAUGUUUUGAUGUUAAAAUGUUACUUCCACCAGUGUAAGAUAGCCAAUUUUAAGCUUAUUAAACAAUUCCACUGAUUUGAAAGUAAUGCAUCCUUUGAAAACUCAUUCUUC
RNA transcript from Fragaria vesca subsp. vesca, 754 nucleotides. RefSeq lists it as uncharacterized. Lineage: Eukaryota; Viridiplantae; Streptophyta; Magnoliopsida; Rosales; Rosaceae. The transcript is spliced from 3 exons. The record is from RefSeq and is a predicted model, not a curated record.